Molecule: ribosomal RNA, 171 nt
Filed under: uncultured bacterium
Lineage: Bacteria
Description: partial 16S ribosomal RNA
Rfam family: Bacterial small subunit ribosomal RNA
Source: RNAcentral
UCCUACGGGAGGCAGCAGUGGGGAAUAUUGGACAAUGGGCGCAAGCCUGAUCCAGCCAUGCCGCGUGAGUGAUGAAGGCCUUAGGGUUGUAAAGCUCUUUUAUCCGGGACGAUAAUGACGGUACCGGAGGAAUAAGCCCCGGCUAACUUCGUGCCAGCAGCCGCGGUAAUA